This 176-nucleotide small RNA is filed under the name Serinus canaria (Common canary). Its description in RNAcentral is "TUC338 (ENSSCAG00000003266.1)". Lineage: Eukaryota; Metazoa; Chordata; Aves; Passeriformes; Fringillidae. The record is from RNAcentral.
UUGACAGCCCUGGACACUUAUGGCCUCUAUCUACAAAACAAGUACAACUCAGGCACUGGCAGUGAAAGCUUCUGCCAUGCUGGUGUCUGCUGAAUUUCCUCCACCCUCUCCAGGAGAGACUGUCUCUAGGACUGAGGAGGGGAGCAUUUCCUUGGUCUGUUCAGUCUUUGACUUUU